Molecule: ribosomal RNA, 403 nt
Filed under: uncultured bacterium
Lineage: Bacteria
Description: partial 16S ribosomal RNA
Rfam family: Bacterial small subunit ribosomal RNA
Source: RNAcentral
AUUGAACGCUGGCGGCAGGCCUAACACAUGCAAGUCGAGCGAGCGGCGGACGGGUGAGUAAUGUAUGGGGACUGCCCGCUAGAGGGGGAUAACUACUGGAAACGGUGGCUAAUACCGCAUACUAUCGGAUAACCCAUAUGGGAUUAGCUAGGAGGUGGGGUAAAGGCUCACCUAGGCGACGAUCUCUAGCGGGUCUGAGAGGAUGAUCGGCCACACUGGGACGGAGACACGGCCCAGACUCCUACGGAGGCAGCAGUGGGGCAUAUGGGACAAUGGGCGCAAGCCUGAUGCACACAUGCCGCGUGUAGGAAGAAGGUCUUAGGGUGGUAAAGUACUUUCAGCGGGGAGGCGUUACCCGCAGAAGAAGCACCGGCUAACUCCGUGCCAGCAGCCGCGGUAAUUC